GACGAACGCUGGCGGCGUGCCUAACACAUGCAAGUCGAGCGAGGAAUGACUGGUAGCUUGCUACCGGUUAUUUCUAGCGGCGGACGGGUGAGUAACGCGUGAGCAACCUGCCUUUAUCAGGGGGAUAACGCAUCGAAAGAUGUGCUAAUACCGCGUAAGACCACAGCCUCACAUGGGGCAGGGGUCAAAGGAGCAAUCCGGAUAAAGAUGGGCUCGCGUCCGAUUAGCUAGUUGGUGAGAUAACAGCCCACCAAGGCGACGAUCGGUAGCCGACCUGAGAGGGUGAUCGGCCACAUUGGAACUGAGAGACGGUCCAGACUCCUACGGGAGGCAGCAGUGGGGAAUAUUGGGCAAUGGGCGAAAGCCUGACCCAGCAACGCCGCGUGAGGGAAGAAGGGUUUCGGCUCGUAAACCUCUGUCCUAUGGG
Molecule: ribosomal RNA, 427 nt
Filed under: uncultured bacterium
Lineage: Bacteria
Description: bacterial SSU rRNA
Rfam family: Bacterial small subunit ribosomal RNA
Source: RNAcentral